RNAcentral lists this unclassified non-coding RNA (303 nucleotides) under Hevea brasiliensis (rubber tree). The record is from RNAcentral. Lineage: Eukaryota; Viridiplantae; Streptophyta; Magnoliopsida; Malpighiales; Euphorbiaceae.
CCGCUCUUCUCGAAACUUUUAAAACCGCUGAUGGCUUCUUCAAGGAGACCUUUCCUCUCGCGCGAACCGAAACGGUUGAGGGAAAGCUUUUCAUAAGAUUAGAUAAGGACGAGGAACAACAGUGUUGGCAGCUUAGCAUAGGGUGUAGUCUUCCCGGGAAAUGGAUUCUUCAUUGGGGAGUUUCUUAUGUGGACGAUGUUGGCAGUGAAUGGGAUCAACCUCCUAAGAAUAUGAGACCUCCGGGUUCUCUUCCUAUAAAGGACUAUGCAAUAGAGACACCGUUAAAGAAAUCCUCAGAGGGAC